Non-coding RNA from Aegilops tauschii subsp. strangulata, 702 nucleotides. The record is from RefSeq and is a predicted model, not a curated record. Lineage: Eukaryota; Viridiplantae; Streptophyta; Magnoliopsida; Poales; Poaceae.
AUUACCACGUUAAUCAGUAAUUAGGAGCCGUUAAUCUGGUGGGACCGAAUUAUAACGGUGUAGAUUAACCAGUCUAUUUUAAGCCCUUUAGUAAAAUACGCAAUGCAAUCUACGUUAAUCUUUGUCCCAAUUCUGUGUAGGUCAUGUCAAAAAAAUCUGUGUAGGUCACGACCUCCCCAUCUCCUUAAAAAAAAUUCUUUCUAAAGCCCACAGUCUUUGACGGUUGUAAACGUAGAAUACAUGGAAGACUCGAUCCUAAUCUAGAUCGUAUUGCCUAGGUCACAAACUCCCCAUCUCCUUCCCCUAAAAAAACUGCCCAUCUCCUUCCCCUAAAAACGAACUCCCCAUCGCCUCAUCUCAGAAAAUAAAAAACCCUCUCACACACGCCGCCGCCGCAGCAGAAGCAGCCGCCGUGUUCGCCUCGCUGCAUACAGCUGGUCGAUCAUAGCAAUCUUUCCAUAUGCUUAAUACCCUCAUGCCUUCAAACUUUCCAAGCGCUUAAUCCCCUCAUGCGUUCAAACUUUAUCCGUGCAAUUUCCCGGAUCUUCGUUUCUCUUUGUGUUGUGGCGGCCGUUGUGCGAGUCAACGUGCUUGAGCGCGUCAGGUUCGGUUUCAAGGUGCAGUGAUGGAGUAUGAUGCUAUUGGCUUGCUGCCUACUUCUAGGCUUGGUUUGGGGCUCCUUCAAGUCUUGAUCCAUGGCUA